AGAGGCGCUUCCGCUGUAAUGACCGGUUAAAUACAGUCACGUAACAUGAAAGCACUGAAUACAAUGUUUUCAUGCAGGAAAGCUUGGAUGCGCACUGCACUCGCAACAGAUGAUCAUUAGAACCCCAAAGCUCCUCUAUAAAGAGCAUUGAGUGGACCAUCACAGGAGGAAGCCUUUUUUCCUGAAGUGUCAUCGUGGGUGGUUUAACAGCUUUGGCGCUGUUAAAAGAUGAGUAAAACUUUAAAUGUAUUAAUUUAUAUUGCAAACAGGGUAGGGCGGGAGCUAUAUAAAACUAUGG
Pelobates cultripes (western spadefoot toad) is the source of this 298-nucleotide non-coding RNA. NCBI's taxonomy places the organism in Eukaryota, Metazoa, Chordata, Amphibia, Anura, Pelobatidae. The record is from the annotation of a GenBank genome assembly.